GCUGACAUGAGCAGCCCCUUGUA
Molecule: unclassified non-coding RNA, 23 nt
Filed under: Mus musculus (house mouse)
Lineage: Eukaryota; Metazoa; Chordata; Mammalia; Rodentia; Muridae
Description: oocyte_clustered_small_RNA3221
Source: RNAcentral